RNAcentral lists this non-coding RNA (32 nucleotides) under Mus musculus (house mouse). The record is from RNAcentral. Lineage: Eukaryota; Metazoa; Chordata; Mammalia; Rodentia; Muridae.
UAAAAAGAAAAAGGAAAAAGAAAGACACAGUG